RNAcentral lists this transfer RNA (72 nucleotides) under Camelus bactrianus (Bactrian camel). It matches the Rfam family "tRNA". From Rfam's summary of the family: Transfer RNA (tRNA) molecules are approximately 80 nucleotides in length. Their secondary structure includes four short double-helical elements and three loops (D, anti-codon, and T loops). RNAcentral also lists the same sequence under 1 other name. The record is from Rfam by way of RNAcentral. Lineage: Eukaryota; Metazoa; Chordata; Mammalia; Artiodactyla; Camelidae.
GGGGGUAUAGCUCAGUGGGAGAGCCCAUGACUAGCAUACACAAUGUCCUGGAUUCAAUUCCCAGUACCUCUG